Molecule: long non-coding RNA, 1624 nt
Filed under: Homo sapiens (human)
Lineage: Eukaryota; Metazoa; Chordata; Mammalia; Primates; Hominidae
Description: HSALNT0029971
Source: RNAcentral
AACAAAGAAUAAACCAUCUUAUCUUUAUUUGUUCUGUUACACCCUGCAUAGUGAAGAGAAAUAAAGUGAAAUUAGAUCAUUUUCAAUGUGUUGUUUGAAGUCAAAAUAAAAUGCAGUAUCAUACUUGCACUGUUAGGAAAUACUUUUUGUUAUUGCUCCUGCUGCAGCUUCACAUCAUUUCUUUUCUUUGUGUUUCAAAUUGAACUGUUUUGCGGGCCUUGAGUCAGUAUAACAAUAUUUUUUGAAAAAAUUCUAGAUUAACACCUGCAAAAUACAGGAGAGGCAAACAAGAGGACCAAACAAGAGUAAGUGUAUUAAGGAGUUAGCAAUUUAAUUUAUUUUAUUAUUUUAUAUGUUUCUCCAUAGUCUGAGCCUGCCUAAUAAAAUUACUCCUGAAUUUCUGCACUUUAAGAAUCUAGUAUUAUUUAAAUCUCAGUUUUCUGUCUCAAUAACUGACUGAAAUGAAGAAAAAAUCUGGUCCCACUCUUUUUAUAUCUAUUUUGAAAGUUUAAGUACGAUAAAUUUCACAGGAAAAAAAAAUUGGCAAAAAUAAAACAAUAUUUUGAGACAUCCUGCUAUUUUUCAGAAAGUUCUUAGGCAAUCUCCCAGUUAAAGAAGUUGCUCUAGAAGAACUCAUACCAAUAUUCCUACCUGACCACAUCUUCAAAAUGUCCUUCUUUUAUCCCGCCACAUGUGAUAAAAUCACCUCAAAAUUUAAUAUUAGAGGAUGAGUUCCUUUUGUUCAAUUUCCAAGUGUCCUAACUGCAAUUCUAUCCCAUUUGUGGGUAGCAGAAUGAGGACAUGAACGCUGCCCCGUUCCCCACACUCGCUCUUCCGCCUCUCCUUGCACAGAGCUCUAUAAUAAAUGAGGAAUGCACAAUCAGGCCUGGGGUUCCCAUCUGCUUGUGAUUACCUCUAUGCACUUGCCUGGAAGACAACACUGGAAAGUCACUGAAAAGCAGGGCAAUUUCUUCGUCAUUAGUUUGUAAGAAUCGUGGCUGCCCUGAUAUGAUUUAGAACAUGAACACCAUGACCUAAAUGUUCUCAGAGGGUAAUAGUCUCACUGCUCUGUCCCUUUUGGGGAACUCCCAGGUUAUUUUCCGAGAAAGAGUGAAUGCUUCUGAAAGGUAAUAGUUCAAAGUACAAGCUUUAGUACACAUCUGAACUCUUGAAUGCAUGUCAAGCUAACCUAAAAAAUUGAGAAGUUCUAUCAUAUCCUAUUAGUGAACACUGAUCAUGUCUGACACUACUGAGGAGAGAGUUAAAGUUUAGAGACUUCCAGGAGGUGAUGUCCAUACACUGGCAGAGAUAUCACACAAGCUGGUCUCUGCAAGGACAGGUCUCCCAGGUGAGGGUGGGAGGCAGAAGCUGCAGGUGCACGAGCCAGAGGAGCAGUAUGAGCUCAUAUCCUAAGAAAAAUGGCUCAGGUUAAAAUUGGAGACAUGCAUUUGAACAUAUCAUCUAGGUAAGGAGAUCCUGGGGUAGGAAACAGGACCAGAGUGAAGAGUCAUCUCCUUUUGACCAUCAGACCUGCCAUGCACUGCCGCCUGAACAAGAGUGUGCAACAGGGAAGAAAAGUGGAAGCUAAAAUCCAGCACCAGCUCUGCUCUUGAAGUUGUGUAGC